GAUGAACGCUGGCGGCGUGCCUAAUACAUGCAAGUCGAGCGAACGGACGAGAAGCUUGCUUCUCUGAUGUUAGCGGCGGACGGGUGAGUAACACGUGGAUAACCUACCUAUAAGACUGGGAUAACUUCGGGAAACCGGAGCUAAUACCGGAUAAUAUUUUGAACCGCAUGGUUCAAAAGUGGAAGACGGUCUUGCUGUCACUUAUAGGUGGAUCCGCGCUGCAUUAGCUAGUUGGUAAGGUAACGGCUUACCAAGGCAACGAUGCAUAGCCGACCUGAGAGGGUGAUCGGCCACACUGGAACUGAGACACGGUCCAGACUCCUACGGGAGGCAGCAGUAGGGAAUCUUCCGCAAUGGGCGAAAGCCUGACGGAGCAACGCCGAGUGAGUGAUGAAGGUCUUCGGAUCGUAAAACUCUGUUAUUAGGGAAGAACAUAUGUGUAAGUAACUGUGCACAUCUUGACGGUACCUAAUCAGAAAGCCACGGCUAACUACGUG
This 497-nucleotide ribosomal RNA is filed under the name uncultured bacterium. RNAcentral's name for it is "partial 16S ribosomal RNA". It matches the Rfam family "Bacterial small subunit ribosomal RNA", at positions 28 to 507 of the family's 1533-position model. The record is from RNAcentral.